GUUAUGGUCGAUGAAAUUGUCGCUUUAUUUUCGUCGUGGAGUCGAGUAAUAUAUACUGAUAAAAAUAUUGUGGUAUAAAAAUAGGAUGAGUGCCAACUAUAGAAAAAAGAGGUGGAAAAAAUAUUAGAUAAGUUGUCCGAUAGUGAAGACGGUUUAGAUAUCGAUGACGAUGAUGGCAAUGAUGACCCUGAUUUUCAACCAGAGAAAUUAUUGAAUAGAAAUUUUGAUCGUCACAGUGAUUCAGAUUCUGAUGACAAUGACAACAGACUAAAUAGUCCAGAAAAUGAGGGAGAGGUUGAGACACAUAACUGUGAGCCGGAACUUCUAGUGGGAACGCCGGAAAAACCCAAAGAAAAAAAAUCUGAUGAUAUUGCUUGGAAGAAAAAAGGUUUGGCCCUGAAUGGAGAACAGCUGAAAUUUCAUGGUGGUACAUCAAUACCUAGGAACGUUUUGGAACUGGAAAAUCCAUAUGAAUUUUUCUUUUACCUAUUCACAGAAGAUCUUAUUCAUAAAAUAGUAAAUGAGACGAAUCUUUAUGCGAUUCAAAAAUAUGUCAGUAAAUCGAUAAAUAGCACGGCAAAUGAAAUGAAACGGUACAUUGGAAUUACAUUGUUCAUGUCAUUAGUGCAUCUUCCUAGCACUCGAGCCUAUUGGUCAGAUGAUUUGGCUUUCGAUGAAAUAAAAAAUACAAUGUCAGUGAACAGAUAUGAAAAAAUCAGAAGUGUUUUACAUUUCAACAAUAAUUAAACUGCUUUACCACGUGAAUAUCCAAAUCAUGACCGUAUUCAUAAAAUAAGACCAUUGCUGGAAGCUCUAAAAAUAAGUUUUUCCAAGGAGUUUCCCCUUGUGCAAUAUUUAUCGGUCGAUGAGCAAAUAUGUUCCUGUAAAGCAAAACAUUAUCUAAAACAGUAUUUGCCAAAAAACCUCGCAAAUGGGGAUUCAAAUUAUUCGUACUCUGUGGGGUGUCAGGCAAUGCUUAUAAUUUUGAAAUGAACACAGGCCAAGAAAAUGUAAUACUACCUAAUGAACCUGAUCUUGGGGCUUCAUCGAAUGUGGUUGCUCGACUAUGUAGGUUGGUUCCAUCAAAUAUGAAUUACAGAGUGUACUUUGAUAAUUAUUAUACAUCUGUUCCUUUUCUGG
Leptinotarsa decemlineata (Colorado potato beetle) is the source of this 1140-nucleotide long non-coding RNA. RefSeq lists it as uncharacterized. Lineage: Eukaryota; Metazoa; Arthropoda; Insecta; Coleoptera; Chrysomelidae. The record is from RefSeq and is a predicted model, not a curated record.